UCCAGGCAAAUCCGGAUAAUCAAGGCUGAGGUGUGAUGACGAGGCACUACGGUGCUGAAGUAACAAAUGCCCUGCUUCCAGGAAAAGCCUCUAAGCAUCAGGUAACAUCAAAUCGUACCCCAAACCGACACAGGUGGUCAGGUAGAGAAUACCAAGGCGCUUGAGAGAACUCGGGUGAAGGAACUAGGCAAAAUGGUGCCGUAACUUCGGGAGAAGGCACGCUGGUGUGUAGGUGAAGCCCCUGCGGGUGGAGCUGAGACCAGUCGAAGAUACCAGCUGGCUGCAACUGUUUAUUAAAAACACAGCACUGUGCAAACACGAAAGUGGACGUAUACGGUGUGACGCCUGCCCGGUGCCGGAAGGUUAAUUGAUGGGGUUAUCCGUAAGGAGAAGCUCUUGAUC
RNAcentral lists this ribosomal RNA (402 nucleotides) under Klebsiella pneumoniae. RNAcentral's name for it is "partial 23S ribosomal RNA". It matches the Rfam family "Bacterial large subunit ribosomal RNA", at positions 1531 to 1913 of the family's 2925-position model. Lineage: Bacteria; Pseudomonadati; Pseudomonadota; Gammaproteobacteria; Enterobacterales; Enterobacteriaceae. The record is from RNAcentral.